Molecule: transfer RNA, 63 nt
Filed under: Phortica variegata
Lineage: Eukaryota; Metazoa; Arthropoda; Insecta; Diptera; Drosophilidae
Description: tRNA-Cys
Source: RNAcentral
GGCUUUAUAUUCAAAUAUGAUAUUAGACUGCAAUUCUAAAGGUGUAAUAAUUUACUAAGGCUU